RNAcentral lists this ribosomal RNA (776 nucleotides) under uncultured Neocallimastigales. Its description in RNAcentral is "partial large subunit ribosomal RNA". It matches the Rfam family "Eukaryotic large subunit ribosomal RNA", at positions 24 to 649 of the family's 3401-position model. The record is from RNAcentral. Lineage: Eukaryota; Fungi; Neocallimastigomycota; Neocallimastigomycetes; Neocallimastigales.
UAUGUGAUCGUCUCUCGCAUAUCAAUAAGCGGAGGAAAAGAAACUAACAAGGAUUCCCCUAGUAACGGCGAGUGAAGCGGGAAGAGCUCAAAUUUGAAAUCUUAAAGGGUUUCCCUUUACGAAUUGUAGUUUAAAGAAGUGUUUUCUGUUGAGGUUUUGGUAAAAGUUCUUUGGAAUAGGACAUCAUAGAGGGUGAGAAUCCCGUAUUUGACCUUUACUUUCAACUUUGUGAUACACUUUCAAAGAGUCGGAUUGUUUGGGAAUGCAGUCCAAAAUGGGUGGUAAAUUUCAUCCUAAAGCUAAAUAUUGGCGAGAGACCGAUAGCGAACAAGUACCGUGAGGGAAAGAUGAAAAGAACUUUGAAAAGAGAGUUAAACAGUACGUGAAAUUGUCAAAAGGGAAGCGUUUGACACCAGUGUUGUUUUUCUGAAAAUCAAUUAAAGAACUGUUUAUGCUAAGCUGUUUAGACUUUAUCAGCUAAUCUGUUUAGUUUUGAGCUUUUCUUUAAUGCACUUUUCAGUUAACAAGUCAACAUCAAUUUCUUUUGCUGUAAAAAAGCUUGAGGAAGGUGGCUUGAGAUUCGUCUUAAGUGUUUAUAGCCUCUUGCCUAUGCAGUCGGAGAGAUUGAGGUCUGCAGCGUAGAUCCUUCGGGGCUAAAUGCAUUUGUGCUAAGUUAUAGCAUUUUAUAGACAACUUGUUGACUAUGAUUUGUCUUGUAGCUUACUCGCUUAUGUUAUUUUACCUACGCUUAGGAUGUUGAGUAGCGACAUACGCAC